This is a long non-coding RNA of Hyaena hyaena (striped hyena), 440 nucleotides long. RefSeq lists it as uncharacterized. The record is from RefSeq and is a predicted model, not a curated record. The transcript is spliced from 2 exons. NCBI's taxonomy places the organism in Eukaryota, Metazoa, Chordata, Mammalia, Carnivora, Hyaenidae.
ACACCCUGGUGUUACUUGAGUAGCUAAACCUUUUGGAUGGCGUCCAGUCCAGCCUUCUCAUCUUUGUGUCAGAUUCCACUCUGUGGGGAAUAGUGACGUCACAAGGUCACUGAGUAAAUGGUCUGAGGAAGCAUAAUGUGGAUGUGAAUAUGGCCUCCCCCCAAACCUGCCCCAUACCUAAUGCAUAGACUCCAUGGAGCAGACACUCUGCCUGGCAUCUAGAAUCAGGACCACAGUAAGAGUUUGAAACUACCAGGAGCUCCAAGAACAGUGAUGGCGGUGGUGUAUGAAAUAACCUCUGGGCUGCACUCUGACUAUAGUCAGAUCUUCUACAGCAGGCUUCUUCCUUCCCUCAGAGUGACAGCCCCUCUUGUGCGGGGGCAGUUUUUGGCGUGCCUCCUUCAGAAAGACAGGGUAUAAACUUGAGACUUUGUCAUUUA